GCAUAUCAAUAAGCGGAGGAAAAGAAACCAACAGGGAUUGCCCUAGUAACGGCGAGUGAAGCGGCAACAGCUCAAAUUUGAAAUCUGGCUUCGGCCCGAGUUGUAAUUUGUAGAGGAAGCUUUAGGCGCGGCACCUUCUGAGUCCCCUGGAACGGGGCGCCAUAGAGGGUGAGAGCCCCGUGUAGUUGGAUGCCUAGCCUGUGUAAAGCUCCUUCGACGAGUCGAGUAGUUUGGGAAUGCUGCUCAAAAUGGGAGGUAAAUUUCUUCUAAAGCUAAAUACCGGCCAGAGACCGAUAGCGCACAAGUAGAGUGAUCGAAAGAUGAAAAGCACUUUGAAAAGAGGGUUAAAUAGCACGUGAAAUUGUUGAAAGGGAAGCGCUUGUGACCAGACUUGCGCCGGGCUGAUCAUCCGGUGUUCUCACCGGUGCACUCUGCCCGGCUCAGGCCAGCAUCGGUUCUCGCGGGGGGAUAAAGGCCCGGGGAAUGUAGCUCCUCCGGGAGUGUUAUAGCCCCGGGCGUAAUACCCUCGCGGGGACCGAGGUUCGCGCGUCUGCAAGGAUG
Molecule: ribosomal RNA, 561 nt
Filed under: Thermothelomyces heterothallicus
Lineage: Eukaryota; Fungi; Ascomycota; Sordariomycetes; Sordariales; Chaetomiaceae
Description: partial 28S ribosomal RNA
Rfam family: Eukaryotic large subunit ribosomal RNA
Source: RNAcentral